CUGGUUGAUCCUGCCAGUAGUCAUAUGCUUGUCUCAAAGAUUAAGCCAUGCAUGUGUAAGUGCAAGCCGUACUAAGGCGAAACCGCGAAAGGCUCAUUACAUCAGUUGUGGUUCCUUGGACUGUACCCAGUUACUUGGAUAACUGCGGAAAAUCUGGAGCUAAUACAUGCCGACAGAGUCCCGACCAGAGAUGGGAGGGACGCUUUUAUUAGAUCAAAACCAGAAAUCCUCUUCGGAGGAGACGGUUUAAGAUGACUCUGAAUAACUUUGUGCCGAUCGCACGGCCUCCGCGCCGGCGACGCGUCUUUCAAAUGUCUGCCUUAUCAACUUUCGAUGGUAGGCUCUGCGCCUACCAUGGUUGUAACGGGUGACGGGGAAUCAGGGUUCGAUUCCGGAGAGGGAGCCUGAGAAACGGCUACCACAUCCAAGGAAGGCAGCAGGCGCGCAAAUUACCCACUCCCGGCCCGGGGAGGUAGUGACGAAAGAUAACGAUGCAGGACUCAUUCGAGGCCCUGUAAUCGGAAUGACUACAUUUUAAAUCUCUUAAGGAGUAUCAAUUGGAGGGCAAGUCUGGUGCCAGCAGCCGCGG
Molecule: ribosomal RNA, 589 nt
Filed under: Kladothrips rodwayi
Lineage: Eukaryota; Metazoa; Arthropoda; Insecta; Thysanoptera; Phlaeothripidae
Description: SSU rRNA
Rfam family: Eukaryotic small subunit ribosomal RNA
Source: RNAcentral